Alexandromys fortis (reed vole) is the source of this 106-nucleotide small nuclear RNA. The record is from RefSeq and is a predicted model, not a curated record. Lineage: Eukaryota; Metazoa; Chordata; Mammalia; Rodentia; Cricetidae.
GUGCUUGCUUCGGCAGCACACACACUAGGUUUGAACGAUACAGAGAAGAUGAGGAUGGCCCCUGCACAAGGAUCACACGCAAAUCUGUGACGCAUUCCCUGUUUUU